AGCGGAAAGGCCACUUCGGUGGUACUCGAGCGGCGAACGGGUGAGUAACACGUGAGUAAUCUGCCCUUGGCUUCGGGAUAGCCACCGGAAACGGUGAUUAAUACCGGAUAUGACAUGGUCUCGCAUGGGAUUGUGUGGAAAGUUUUUCGGCCAGGGAUGUGCUCGCGGCCUAUCAGCUUGAUGGUGAGGUAAUGGCUCACCAUGGCUUCGACGGGUAGCCGGCCUGAGAGGGUGACCGGUCACACUGGGACUGAGACACGGCCCAGACUCCUACGGGAGGCAGCAGUGGGGAAUAUUGGACAAUGGGCGGAAGCCUGAUCCAGCAACGCCGCGUGAGGGAUGACGGCCUUCGGGUUGUAAACCUCUUUCGGUAGGGACGAAGCGCAAGUGACGGUACCUACUAAAGAAGCACCGGCCAACUACGUGCCAGCAGCCGCGGUAAUACGUAGGGUGCGAGCGUUGUCCGG
This 467-nucleotide ribosomal RNA is filed under the name uncultured Nocardioides sp. Its description in RNAcentral is "bacterial SSU rRNA". It matches the Rfam family "Bacterial small subunit ribosomal RNA", at positions 65 to 548 of the family's 1533-position model. Lineage: Bacteria; Bacillati; Actinomycetota; Actinomycetes; Propionibacteriales; Nocardioidaceae. The record is from RNAcentral.